CGCGCGUUGCGAGCCUCUCUGGUGGCGAUCGAAACGCUCUAGGUAUUUUCUUGAUCCCCUGGUCUUUAGAGGAUCCAUUUUGUGCCGAAUUAUGUGAGUGGCAUAGAAACAGGAUGUGUCAGUGCAAAGGACUAACCACAAGGGUCUCCCUGUGGUCCACGUUUUUAAUAGAAUGACGCUACGUAUAUGCUUAGUAGUACAACACUGCUUGCUCGUCGCUCAUGAUUUGAGCCCCCUGUGUUUCACCCUCACGUGGAGAAGCGGCUUGAGAAAAGUUUUGUUCGAUGGUAUAUUGGCUGGUAUUGGUUUGUGGCUGUCCUCUUCGGCAGGCGUUGGCAAACUUCAACGAUGCUCUUUGAAGGAACCAGAGGUAAUCGGAGAGGUGUGAGCUCGAGUCCCACUGCUACCGCUUUGUUCCUUUCGUCAGGUGCCGUUCUGUAAUCGAGGCAUGUAACUCCAGAGAAUUUGUUAGGCUCCAGAAAAGGUUAUACAUGGUUGUAUCUAACGUCUGAUUUGAGAGCCAAGCAUUCAACAUACUGAACCAUCGAGGCGUCACAUGUGCCAGAUCUUGGCUUCGUGCUUUUUCCUUCGUAUUUUUCCUCUUUCUUUCUUUCUUUUUUUUUUGUGUGUGUGUGUGUGUGUGACUCAUUGUUUGCCCGCGAUGGCCCGUGAGACGACACUUUGGAUAUCGACCGUCAAGCUCCGAAAUUUCAAGGAUGACGUGCUGAUAUCUACGUUUACUCCAAUCGAUAUUGCAGCUUUGCGAAGGACUUCGUCCGGGGGGACCACAAUAGAAGUCUUCGCCUUGGAAGUAACUGAAGAUUGAAACGCAUAGAGCGGUUUCUCAGCGUGAAAAUGUCGCGGGUGUUGUUGUGCUAUUAUCGUUCACCCGUUCACACAUUCCGGUGAUGUUGUUAUAAACGCUUUGUGUGCGUCA
Long non-coding RNA from Ornithodoros turicata, 937 nucleotides. RefSeq lists it as uncharacterized. NCBI's taxonomy places the organism in Eukaryota, Metazoa, Arthropoda, Arachnida, Ixodida, Argasidae. The record is from RefSeq and is a predicted model, not a curated record. The transcript has 5 exons.